UACGAAGGUGGCAAGCGUUGUUCGGAUUUACUGGGCGUACAGGGAGCGUAGGCGGUUUGGUAAGCCCUUUGUGAAAUCUCCAGGCUUAACCUGGAACAGUCGGAGGGGACUGCUGGGCUAGAGGACGGGAGAGGAGCGCGGAAUUCCCGGUGUAGCGGUGAAAUGCGUAGAGAUCGGGAGGAACAUCAGUUGCGAAGGCGGCUCUCUGGACCAGCACUGACACUGAGGCACGAAAGCGUGGGGAGCAAACAGG
This 253-nucleotide ribosomal RNA is filed under the name uncultured bacterium. RNAcentral's name for it is "partial 16S ribosomal RNA". It matches the Rfam family "Bacterial small subunit ribosomal RNA", at positions 524 to 776 of the family's 1533-position model. The record is from RNAcentral.